GACAGAGGAGGCAAGCGUUAUCCGGAAUGAUUGGGCGUAAAGCGUCCGCAGGUGGAUUGUCAAGUCUGCUGUUAAAGCGCGAAGCUCAACUUCGUAAAGGCAGUGGAAACUGUGAGUCUAGAGUACGUUCGGGGGAGAGGGAAUUCCCGGUGUAGCGGUGAAAUGCGUAGAGAUUGGGAAGAACACCAGUGGCGAAAGCGCCCUGCUAGGCCUGUACUGACACUGAGGGACGAAAGCUAGGGGAGCGAAUGGG
RNAcentral lists this ribosomal RNA (253 nucleotides) under uncultured bacterium. RNAcentral describes it as "partial 16S ribosomal RNA". It matches the Rfam family "Bacterial small subunit ribosomal RNA", at positions 524 to 776 of the family's 1533-position model. The record is from RNAcentral.